RNAcentral lists this ribosomal RNA (468 nucleotides) under uncultured bacterium. RNAcentral's name for it is "partial 16S ribosomal RNA". It matches the Rfam family "Bacterial small subunit ribosomal RNA", at positions 28 to 507 of the family's 1533-position model. The record is from RNAcentral.
GACGCACGCUGGCGGCGUGCUUAAUACAUGCAAGUCGAACGGACAGGCCCUGCUUUUGUGGUGUGCUUGUGUGGCGAACGCGUGUGUAACACGUGAGUAACCUCCCCCUGACUUUGGGAUAAAUCCUUGAAACUGGGGCUAAUAUCGGAUAUGAGCUCCUGCUGCAUAUUGGGGGAUGGUAAAUUUCGGCGGUUGUGGAUGGACUCGCGGCUUACCAGCUUGUUGGUGGGGUAGUUGCUUACCAAGGCUUUGACGGGUAGCCGGCCUGAGAGGGUGACCGGCCACAGUGGGACUGAGAGACGGCCCAGACGCCUACGGGAGGCAGCAGGGGGGAAUAUUGCACAAUGGGCGGAAGCCUGAUGCAGCAACGCCGCGUGCGGGAUGACGGCCUUCGGGUGGUAAACCUCUUUCUCCUGUGACGAGGCGUGAGUGACGGUAAUGGGUAAAGAAGCACCGGCUAACUACGUG